This 291-nucleotide long non-coding RNA is filed under the name Olea europaea subsp. europaea. The record is from RNAcentral. Lineage: Eukaryota; Viridiplantae; Streptophyta; Magnoliopsida; Lamiales; Oleaceae.
CUUGUUGGUCGAAUUUGAACCAAGUGUAACAACAAAAAGAAAGAUUUUUGAAGAAUGAUAGAGGAAAAAAGUUAAACGAUCAUCUGAGGAUUUCAAUUUCACAGUUAGAAUUGAGAUUUUUGGGGAGAGAUUUUUGAAUUUUGCAAGAGGACGAUGGAGAGUAGGAUUGGAUGAGAAAUAGUUAGAUGAAUAAAAAUAACAGUGUAAAAAAAAAAAAGAUGAACAAUACAAUUAUUACACGGAAUCCAUUAUCCUUUUUUAGUGAAUAGUGCUGAACCGGUUCCAAACUAG